Oncorhynchus tshawytscha (Chinook salmon) is the source of this 619-nucleotide long non-coding RNA. NCBI's taxonomy places the organism in Eukaryota, Metazoa, Chordata, Actinopteri, Salmoniformes, Salmonidae. The record is from Ensembl.
GGGUGGUUGGUCAGGGUGGAUGGUCAGGGUGGGUGGUCAGGGUGGAUGGUCAGGGUGGAUGGUGAGGGUGUUUGGUCAGGGUGGGUGGUCAGGGUGGAUGGUCAGGGUGGGUGGUCAGGGUGGAUGGGUAGGGUGGUCAGGGUGGAUGGUCAGGAUGGAUGGUCAGGGUGGUUGGUCAGGGUGGGUGGUCAGGGUGGAUAGGGUGGAUCAGGGUGGAUGGUCAGGGUGGUUGGUCAGGGUGGGUGGUCAGGGUGGAUGGGUAGGGUGGUCAGGGUGGAUGGUCAGGGUGGUUGAUCAGGGUGGAUGGUCAGGGUGGUCAGGGUGGAUGGUCAGGGUGGGUGGUCAGGGUGGAUGGAUGGUCAGGGUGGUUGGUCAGGGUGGAUGGUCAGGGUGGUUGGUCAGGAUGGUCAUGGUGGAUGGUCAGGGGAUGGACAGGGUGGAUGGUCAGGGGUGGUGGUCAGGAUCAGGGUGGAUGGUCAGGGUGGUUGGUCAGGGUGGGUGGUCAGGGGGUGGGUGGAUGGUCAGGGUGGUUGGUCAGGGUGGGUGGUCAGGGUGGGUGGUCAGGGUGGAUGGGCAGGGUCAGGGUGGAUGGUCAGGGUGGUUGGUCAGGGUGGGUGGU